RNAcentral lists this ribosomal RNA (463 nucleotides) under Guillardia theta. RNAcentral's name for it is "partial 18S ribosomal RNA". It matches the Rfam family "Eukaryotic small subunit ribosomal RNA", at positions 195 to 618 of the family's 1831-position model. Lineage: Eukaryota; Cryptophyceae; Pyrenomonadales; Geminigeraceae. The record is from RNAcentral.
CUGCAGCGGGAUUUAUUAGAUCAAAAACCAAUCGCAUCUCCCUGCCAUGGGCGAGUGCGUGGCGGGAUGAAUCAUAAUAACUUUUUUUUUUUUUUUUUUUCCGAACCGUAUGGCUUCCAAUUCUCAUGGCCGGCGGUAAAUCAUUCAAAUUUCUGCCCUAUCAACUUUCGAUGGUUGGGUAGUGGCCAACCAUGGUGUUGACGGGUACGGGGAAUUAGGGUUCGAUUCCGGAGAGGGAGCCUGAGAGAUGGCUACCACAUCCAAGGAAGGCAGCAGGCGCGAAAAUUACCCAAUCCUGAUUCAGGGAGGUAGCGACAAGAAAUAACGGUAGUGGACUCGUUCGAGUCUGCUCAUCGGAAUGAGGAUAGUUUACACCCCUUCUCGAGGAUCCAUUGGAGGGCAAGUCUGGUGCCAGCAGCCGCGGUAACUCCAGCUCCAAUAGCGUAUACUAAAGUUGCUGCAG